This 471-nucleotide ribosomal RNA is filed under the name uncultured bacterium. RNAcentral's name for it is "partial 16S ribosomal RNA". It matches the Rfam family "Bacterial small subunit ribosomal RNA", at positions 28 to 506 of the family's 1533-position model. The record is from RNAcentral.
GACGAACGCUGGCGGCGUGCUUAACACAUGCAAGUCGAACGCUGAAGCUUGGUGCUUGCACUGGGUGGAUGAGUGGCGAACGGGUGAGUAAUACGUGAGUAACCUGCCCUUGACUCUGGGAUAAGCCUGGGAAACUGGGUCUAAUACUGGAUAUGACAUUCCACUGCAUGGUGGUGUGUGGAAAGGGUUUUACUGGUUUUGGAUGGGCUCACGGCCUAUCAGCUUGUUGGUGGGGUAAUGGCCUACCAAGGCGACGACGGGUAGCCGGCCUGAGAGGGUGACCGGCCACACUGGGACUGAGACACGGCCCAGACUCCUACGGGAGGCAGCAGGGGGGAAUAUGGCACAAUGGGCGGAAGCCUGAUGCAGCGACGCCGCGUGAGGGAGGACGGCCUUCGGGUUGUAAACCUCUUUCAGCACGGAAGAAGCGAGAGUGACGGUACGUGCAGAAGAAGCGCCGGCGAACUACGU